RNAcentral lists this long non-coding RNA (213 nucleotides) under Physcomitrium patens. RNAcentral describes it as "long non-coding RNA (PPAT_LNC007988)". The record is from RNAcentral. Lineage: Eukaryota; Viridiplantae; Streptophyta; Bryopsida; Funariales; Funariaceae.
AAUAUAGGUCAUAUUCCAUGGUUUUUAAAAUCUAUAGUAUUGACCAUCUUUACAAUCCUAACUGCCUCCUAAAAUGUUUGUGGAUUUUUUAAUUCCACCUCUUGCUCGACUAUAGGUUUCAACUCUCAAAUAAAUCAAUCUAUCAUCUUUGCCUUUGAAAUAUUGUUAAUUUAAAGAUAUAGGAACUUGAAUUCGGAGAGAUAAUCUUACAAU